Non-coding RNA from Bos taurus (domestic cattle), 72 nucleotides. Lineage: Eukaryota; Metazoa; Chordata; Mammalia; Artiodactyla; Bovidae. The record is from Rfam.
UCCCUAGUGGUCCAGUGGUCAGGAUUCGGCACUUUCACUGCCGUGGCCCAGGUUUAACUCCCGGUCAGGGAA